Molecule: long non-coding RNA, 1025 nt
Organism: Urocitellus parryii (Arctic ground squirrel)
Lineage: Eukaryota; Metazoa; Chordata; Mammalia; Rodentia; Sciuridae
Source: RefSeq, a predicted model, not a curated record
GGGAGAGCGGCCAGUUUGUGCUGUGGGUGAUCUCAUUAGAAUGGAGGAGCAGCUGUCCCUCCCAUCCUUGCAGCCAGCCUGCCAGGUAGAACGUGCCUGAGCGGGAGCUCCAUCACAGCAGGCCGGCGGCCUACCCUGGCAGACACCCACCUGCCUGCUGCCUGCUUCCCACCAGCCACAUUCRCUUCCUCUUGAAAGCCCAUCCGGAACUUUCCGCACAGCCUAGGACCUGCCAGCAGGAAGCUGGAGAGGAGGGUUGCUCACCUUUCUUGGCUCUUUCUCUUUCUAAUCUGCAAGAGGAGUUGGYGUAAGGCAGUCGGACCGAUCACCUACCUCCCACUUGUCACGCAGAAUACCGAGGAUCAGGACUGAACAAGGUGGAGGAUUCCCACUGCUCACCAAGGGCACCCUUAAGUGGAACCAACUUGUUUUCUUUUUAUUUAAGGGGGAGUUUUUGGUGAAAUUGCCUUGAUUUGUGUGGAGGCACCAAUGUUAAAACACAAAUGACAUUGUACAAAUUUCCACUUGGUGAAAAGCAAAACAAAACAAAACAAAUGCCAUUGCUGUAGGCCUACCACCGUAGACUUACUGGUAAGUCAGGUCUGGGAGGAGGGAAAGAAGAGUGAAAGAUGCUCAGGCCUGGCCUGAGCACCACAGAGGUGGGGCCUCCUUCCUGUGAUGGGAAAGAUCGAUUCAGACUUUCAGCUUGGGAAGGUUGAGUCUAAGAUAGCUACAUAUGCUGGGUGCAGCUCAGGAGGCUGAGGCCAGAGGACAGCAAGUUCAASGCCAAGUUCAAGGCCAAGUUCAAGGCCAAGACAGCAAGUUCAAGCAGGUCAGCCAGAUCCUGUCUCAAAAUAAAAAAUAAAAAGGGCCAGGGUUGUGGCUGAGUGGUAACUCCAGGGGGUUUGAUCCCCAGUACCAAUAUAAAUAAAUUAAUUAAAUUAAAAAAGAAAAGAAAAAGCACAAGGAAACACUCCAACCCUGGUACAGGCAAUGCUUUUUGGAUUUGCUCUCAAAGCACAGGA